AAUCAUUGGCGAAGCCAGGGACAAAACAACAGCCUGGACUCAGUCUCCCCAGGAGUGGAGCUGACUCUGGACAGCCAAUGCAGGUAAACAUCAAACACACCAGUCCAUCUCUUUUAUGAAGACAAAUGGCCUUCUACUAACACAACUCAGAUGAGUCUUCCUGGAGAGUUGAGCUAAAUUGUGUUUUAGCCAAACAGAUUACCCGUCCUCUUAUGUGGAGAAAUAGUUUUUAAUAAGGCAACUCCACAUGGCCCAUUGCUCCCUUCUAAACGGCAGCACAGAAGAUAACAAAGAGACCUGAAAGGCAAUGCUUGGCCAGAUGCUCAUUCUUCCCCUUUGCAGCCCAUGAAGUCAAGAGGAGAAAAUACACAAUAGAUCCCAGGCAAAAAUAUAUGCAAUCAGUAUCUGAAUAUGCUGAAGAAAAAUUUCACAGGUCAACCAAGGAAGAGGAAUGAAGUUUAAAUUUCC
This is a non-coding RNA of Heterocephalus glaber (naked mole-rat), 468 nucleotides long. The record is from RefSeq and is a predicted model, not a curated record. NCBI's taxonomy places the organism in Eukaryota, Metazoa, Chordata, Mammalia, Rodentia, Bathyergidae.